AUCAACCUUGCGUCCUCAUGAAUACUAGUGAGAUUUGUUUCUGCUGAACCAAGAUGGAACUCCAAACUUAUGAAUCUCUGUAAAGGCCUUGUACGUUCAGAGGAACACAAUUCCGGACCUAAGAGCAUAAAAGUGAGUGUGAACACAUAAAAUAUGUCUCGUUAAAACAUGUAAGUACAUUCCUAACUCAUGUGCCUUUGAACGGCAUCACAAAAAAAAGACCACCAGGCACUCCAGUUCCACCUCUCAUGGAGGGAAGUCCGACGGAAAGAGCGUCAGAGUGAAACUGGCCGUCUUAACUUACUCAAUGUACUUGACUGAACUUUUUUUCUCUUUAACUUACAUCACCUUUGCAAAUUCUUCAAAAUGACCACGUUUAUACAUUCUGAGCCAGGACCUUGUCAGAGCCCAUCUACAGUCAUGGAAAGGGAGUGGUGCUUUAGCUUCGUGGGAAACCCACCUCUGAGUAGAAAAUAAUGCAGCAGCCAGCCUGUCCUCAAAGCUGAGUCUCUGCCACCACGGGUUGGUCCAGAGAAGAAACACCAGAUGAUGGAACAGCUGUUAGAACAUUGGGAAAGUGGUUGAGCUAAAUCACGCUCUCAUCAGAGAAUAAAACGUUUUUUCAUCAAAGGAUUGGCAGAAUCCUGGGCACAGUCACACCCACCCCAGCCUUUUGACACCUUAGACCCGGCCUGUCCCCGCCCCCCAGGUAAUAGAUACAUGGUUUGUCCCCCCUCCCCAGCCCCUUCCGCCCCAAGAGCCGAGUAACCCCCAGCCCCACUGUGCAGAGUGGGGCUCAGGACACAGAAGCGCAUCAUCUCCGUGUCGAGAAGGACCCGUGCCCAGGGCUUGGGUGAGAGCCGGGCUCACGUCUCCUAAGCCCUUCCCAGAACACACGCUGCCCAGGAGCCAGGGGCCAGCCUGCUUCUCACUUGCCGGGGUACCUGAUCUCCUAUCACAUCUCCUGAUGACGAGGACAAUGAUGAGGACAAUGACGACGAGGACGAGGACGACAAUGACAGGAGCGCUUUCUAUGUUCUGGAUACUGAUGCUUUGUGAGUGGGGGGAUUCGAGCAACGUUUCCAAGUGGAGAUGCUUGUGCCACAAGGAUGUGCGCUGCCCACCGAAGGAGGCCUUUCACCUUCACGACUCAGAGGCCCAAGGACUUUGAGCUUCUCACUAAGACAGCGACAGUAAAGAAAGGUCCUUCCCUUGACCUGAGCUUGGACCUCAGCCCAUGGUGGUCCUGUUCUGGAUUUAGGGUUGACAAUGACGUCAGAGCAAAGAGGGUGAGAGUCUGUGAAGGACAAAUGCAGGUGCAAUAAAUGUCCAUCAGCCGAGGAUUGGCUAAAGAAGACACAGGCCAUAGACUCAGUGGACUCUUGCUCAGCCACCUGCAGCAACGUGGAUGGACCUAGAAGGGAUCCUACUCAGUGAAGUAAGUCAAACAGAGAAAGACGAAUCUCAUGUGAGAUGACUAAUAUGGAGAGUCUAGGAGCAGUGAUGGUAUAGACGUUACAAAACAGAAACAGACUCAACGAUUUCCAAUCCACACUUAUGUUUCCAAAGGGGAAACGUGGCAGGUGGCAGUUAGGGGGUUGGUAUUGAUGAAUACACACUGUUGCAUGUAACACAGAUGGGUAACAUGGACCUACUGUAUGGCACAGGGAAAUUUACUCAAUACUGGGUAAUACUC
Long non-coding RNA from Phacochoerus africanus (Common warthog), 1696 nucleotides. RefSeq lists it as uncharacterized. Lineage: Eukaryota; Metazoa; Chordata; Mammalia; Artiodactyla; Suidae. The transcript is spliced from 3 exons. The record is from RefSeq and is a predicted model, not a curated record.